GAUGAACGCUAGCUACAGGCUUAACACAUGCAAGUCGAGGGGCAGCAUGAACUUAGCUUGCUAAGUUUGAUGGCGACCGGCGCACGGGUGAGUAACACGUAUCCAACCUUCCGUUUACUCAGGGAUAGCCUUUCGAAAGAAAGAUUAAUACCUGAUAGUAUGGUGAGAUUGCAUGAUAACACCAUUAAAGAUUUAUUGGUAAACGAUGGGGAUGCGUUCCAUUAGGUAGUAGGCGGGGUAACGGCCCACCUAGCCUGCGAUGGAUAGGGGUUCUGAGAGGAAGGUCCCCCCACAUUGGAACUGAGACACGGUCCAAAACUCCUACGGGAGGCAGCAGUGAGGAAUAUUGGUCAAUGGACGAGAGUCUGAACCAGCCAAGUAGCGUGAAGGAUGAAGGUCCUACGGAUUGUAAACUUCUUUAUAAGGGAAUAAAGUAUCCUACGUGUAGGAUUUUGUAUGUACCGUAUGAAUAAGCAUCGGCUAACUCCGUGCCAGCAGCCGCGGU
RNAcentral lists this ribosomal RNA (505 nucleotides) under uncultured bacterium. Its description in RNAcentral is "bacterial SSU rRNA". It matches the Rfam family "Bacterial small subunit ribosomal RNA", at positions 28 to 521 of the family's 1533-position model. The record is from RNAcentral.